Molecule: ribosomal RNA, 800 nt
Filed under: Arthrobacter sp.
Lineage: Bacteria; Bacillati; Actinomycetota; Actinomycetes; Micrococcales; Micrococcaceae
Description: bacterial SSU rRNA
Rfam family: Bacterial small subunit ribosomal RNA
Source: RNAcentral
CAGCUUGCUGGGGGGAUUAGUGGCGAACGGGUGAGUAACACGUGAGUAACCUGCCCUUAACUCUGGGAUAAGCCUGGGAAACUGGGUCUAAUACCGGAUAUGACUCCUCAUCGCAUGGUGGGGGGUGGAAAGCUUUUUGUGGUUUUGGAUGGACUCGCGGCCUAUCAGCUUGUUGGUGAGGUAAUGGCUCACCAAGGCGACGACGGGUAGCCGGCCUGAGAGGGUGACCGGCCACACUGGGACUGAGACACGGCCCAGACUCCUACGGGAGGCAGCAGUGGGGAAUAUUGCACAAUGGGCGCAAGCCUGAUGCAGCGACGCCGCGUGAGGGAUGACGGCCUUCGGGUUGUAAACCUCUUUCAGUAGGGAAGAAGCGAAAGUGACGGUACCUGCAGAAGAAGCGCCGGCUAACUACGUGCCAGCAGCCGCGGUAAUACGUAGGGCGCAAGCGUUAUCCGGAAUUAUUGGGCGUAAAGAGCUCGUAGGCGGUUUGUCGCGUCUGCCGUGAAAGUCCGGGGCUCAACUCCGGAUCUGCGGUGGGUACGGGCAGACUAGAGUGAUGUAGGGGAGACUGGAAUUCCUGGUGUAGCGGUGAAAUGCGCAGAUAUCAGGAGGAACACCGAUGGCGAAGGCAGGUCUCUGGGCAUUAACUGACGCUGAGGAGCGAAAGCAUGGGGAGCGAACAGGAUUAGAUACCCUGGUAGUCCAUGCCGUAAACGUUGGGCACUAGGUGUGGGGGACAUUCCACGUUUUCCGCGCCGUAGCUAACGCAUUAAGUGCCCCGCCUGGGGAGUACGGCC